UACAGAGGGUGCGAGCGUUAAUCGGAAUUACUGGGCGUAAAGCGCGCGUAGGCGGACGGGCAAGUUUGAUGUGAAAGCCCCGGGCUCAACCUGGGAACUGCGUUGAAAACUGCCCGCCUAGAGUUUGGCAGAGGGCCGUGGAAUUUCCGGUGUAGCGGUGAAAUGCGUAGAGAUCGGAAAGAACACCAGUGGCGAAGGCGGCGGCCUGGGCCAAAACUGACGCUGAGGCGCGAAAGCGUGGGGAGCAAACAGG
Molecule: ribosomal RNA, 253 nt
Filed under: uncultured bacterium
Lineage: Bacteria
Description: partial 16S ribosomal RNA
Rfam family: Bacterial small subunit ribosomal RNA
Source: RNAcentral